GGGGGUGUAACUUAUAUGGUAGAUUGCUUGCUUUGCAUGCGAGAGGCAAGUGGUUCGAUUCUCUACACUUCCA
RNAcentral lists this transfer RNA (73 nucleotides) under Musa acuminata subsp. malaccensis (wild Malaysian banana). It matches the Rfam family "tRNA". Rfam says of the family: Transfer RNA (tRNA) molecules are approximately 80 nucleotides in length. Their secondary structure includes four short double-helical elements and three loops (D, anti-codon, and T loops). Lineage: Eukaryota; Viridiplantae; Streptophyta; Magnoliopsida; Zingiberales; Musaceae. The record is from Rfam by way of RNAcentral.